Molecule: ribosomal RNA, 925 nt
Filed under: Acinetobacter sp. SYSN1
Lineage: Bacteria; Pseudomonadati; Pseudomonadota; Gammaproteobacteria; Moraxellales; Moraxellaceae
Description: bacterial SSU rRNA
Rfam family: Bacterial small subunit ribosomal RNA
Source: RNAcentral
AUUAGAGUUUGAUCCUGGCUCAGAUUGAACGCUGGCGGCAGGCUUAACACAUGCAAGUCGAGCGGAGAGAGGUAGCUUGCUACUGAUCUUAGCGGCGGACGGGUGAGUAAUGCUUAGGAAUCUGCCUAUUAGUGGGGGACAACAUUUCGAAAGGAAUGCUAAUACCGCAUACGUCCUACGGGAGAAAGCAGGGGAUCUUCGGACCUUGCGCUAAUAGAUGAGCCUAAGUCGGAUUAGCUAGUUGGUGGGGUAAAGGCCUACCAAGGCGACGAUCUGUAGCGGGUCUGAGAGGAUGAUCCGCCACACUGGGACUGAGACACGGCCCAGACUCCUACGGGAGGCAGCAGUGGGGAAUAUUGGACAAUGGGCGCAAGCCUGAUCCAGCCAUGCCGCGUGUGUGAAGAAGGCCUUAUGGUUGUAAAGCACUUUAAGCGAGGAGGAGGCUACUUUAGUUAAUACCUAGAGAUAGUGGACGUUACUCGCAGAAUAAGCACCGGCUAACUCUGUGCCAGCAGCCGCGGUAAUACAGAGGGUGCAAGCGUUAAUCGGAUUUACUGGGCGUAAAGCGCGCGUAGGCGGCUAAUUAAGUCAAAUGUGAAAUCCCCGAGCUUAACUUGGGAAUUGCAUUCGAUACUGGUUAGCUAGAGUGUGGGAGAGGAUGGUAGAAUUCCAGGUGUAGCGGUGAAAUGCGUAGAGAUCUGGAGGAAUACCGAUGGCGAAGGCAGCCAUCUGGCCUAACACUGACGCUGAGGUGCGAAAGCAUGGGGAGCAAACAGGAUUAGAUACCCUGGUAGUCCAUGCCGUAAACGAUGUCUACUAGCCGUUGGGGCCUUUGAGGCUUUAGUGGCGCAGCUAACGCGAUAAGUAGACCGCCUGGGGGAGUACGGUCGCAAGACUAAAACUCAAAUGAAUUGACGGGGGCCGC